CCCUUAGAUGUCCUGGGCCGCACGCGCGCUACACUGAACGGAUCAGCGCGUUUUCCCUUCCCGAGAGGGACGGGUAACCUGCUGAACCCCGUUCGUGGUAGGGAUCGGGGCUUGCAAUUAUUCCCCGUGAACCAGGAAUGCCCAGUAAGUGCAAGUCAUAAGCUUGCGUUGAUUACGCCCCUGCCCUUUGUACACACCGCCCGUCGCUACUACCGAUUGAACGUUUUAGUGAGGUACUCGGACUGAGCCUCAGAAGAUUCACGUCUUUUGUGCUGCUCGGGAAGAUUCCCAAACUUGAGCGUUUAGAGGAAGUAAAAGUCGUAACA
RNAcentral lists this ribosomal RNA (326 nucleotides) under uncultured eukaryote. Its description in RNAcentral is "partial 18S ribosomal RNA". It matches the Rfam family "Eukaryotic small subunit ribosomal RNA", at positions 1470 to 1796 of the family's 1831-position model. The record is from RNAcentral.